GACAGCUACAGUCUCUGCCUUCCUGGUUUUAGCAGAUAAUUGCAGAGAAAAGAGUAUUUAGCUUACAUUUUGGAAGCUAAAAGUCCAGAGGCGUCAUCAGGUCAGCAAGGGCUCCCUUGCCUGUGAGCAUCACAUAGCAGUUUCGGGAUCAUGGCUGGAUGAUGCAGCCAAGGUUUCUCCAGGAUGGCCAUCCUCCCCAAGGGGGCUGAUUGCUGGUACCCAGGCAAGAUGUCUCCUUUCUGAGUACUUCUGAGUGGCUUCCUCUCAGAAACUUCUAGUUGAGCUUCCCCAACACUUGAUAUUUCCCCUGCAGUGAACUGGACGCCCAGUGUUCACCCACUGCCAGGGGUUCAUCCUUUUAAAUCUCAGUGCCUUUUCAUGUUCAGGCAUACCUAUUAAAAGAUGAACACCCUGGAAAGUGCACCUUGUUAAGCUCAUAAUUUGCAAUACAGAACCCAGGCUUCUUGUUGCUUAAGGGCGAGCCCUGGAGUAAUAGAACUUAUCUUCCUCUAGUGGUAUCUUUCUGUGGUUGGCACACUUCACACAUCAGUCUUCAUGACAACCCUACAGGAAAGCCACGUGGUAAAAGAG
RNAcentral lists this long non-coding RNA (591 nucleotides) under Cricetulus griseus (Chinese hamster). RNAcentral's name for it is "lncRNA (ENSCGRG00015032683.1)". Lineage: Eukaryota; Metazoa; Chordata; Mammalia; Rodentia; Cricetidae. The record is from RNAcentral.